CGAGCUUAUGUGUUUGUUGCUUGGAAUAGUCUAAUUCCCUAGUUCUUAAUGCUGCUAUUAUAUUAAAUCUAGAGAGCUUAUUUUAGGUUAUAUAAUUGUUAGAAUCUUGUGAAGAGCUUGUUUCAUUGAGUGACAAUCUAAGGGGAGUUUCGGGUAGCAGAGCUUGUUGUUACCUAGGGCUAUUAGUUUCAUUGAAGGGUAAAUAAUGUUACACUUGAUUAAUCUAUUAUUGUAAAAAG
This 239-nucleotide long non-coding RNA is filed under the name Panax ginseng (ginseng). RNAcentral describes it as "long non-coding RNA (PGIN_LNC014953)". Lineage: Eukaryota; Viridiplantae; Streptophyta; Magnoliopsida; Apiales; Araliaceae. The record is from RNAcentral.